UACGUAGGGUGCAAGCGUUAAUCGGAAUUACUGGGCGUAAAGCGUGCGCAGGCGGUGAUGUAAGACAGAUGUGAAAUCCCCGGGCUCAACCUGGGAACUGCAUUUGUGACUGCAUCGCUGGAGUGCGGCAGAGGGGGAUGGAAUUCCGCGUGUAGCAGUGAAAUGCGUAGAUAUGCGGAGGAACACCGAUGGCGAAGGCAAUCCCCUGGGCCUGCACUGACGCUCAUGCACGAAGCGUGGGGAGCGAACAGG
This 252-nucleotide ribosomal RNA is filed under the name uncultured bacterium. Its description in RNAcentral is "partial 16S ribosomal RNA". It matches the Rfam family "Bacterial small subunit ribosomal RNA", at positions 524 to 776 of the family's 1533-position model. The record is from RNAcentral.